CGGCAACAGCUCAAAUUUGAAAUCUGGCCCCUAGGGCCCGAGUUGUAAUUUGCAGAGGAUGCUUUUGGUGAGGCGCCGGCCGAGUUCCCUGGAACGGGACGCCACAGAGGGUGAGAGCCCCGUCUGCCUGGACGCCGAACCUAUGUAAAGCUCCUUCGACGAGUCGAGUAGUUUGGGAAUGCUGCUCUAAAUGGGAGGUAUAUGUCUUCUAAAGCUAAAUAUUGGCCAGAGACCGAUAGCGCACAAGUAGAGUGAUCGAAAGAUGAAAAGCACUUUGAAAAGAGGGUUAAAUAGUACGUGAAAUUGUUGAAAGGGAAGCGCUCAUGACCAGACUUGGGCUUGGCGGAUCAUCCGGCGUUCUCGCCGGUGCACUCUGCCUCGUCCAGGCCAGCAUCAGUUCGCCGCGGGGGAUAAAGGCGUCGGGAAUGUGGCUCCCACGGGAGUGUUAUAGCCCUUCGCAUAAUACCCUGAGGUGGACUGAGGUUCGCGCUCCGCAAGGAUGCUGGCGUAAUGGUCAUCAGCGACCCGUCUUGAAACACGGACCAAGGAGUCGUCUUCGUAUGCGAGUGUUCGGGUGUCAAACCCCUACGCGUAAUGAAAGUGAACGCAGGUGAGAGCUUCGGCGCAUCAUCGACCGAUCCUGAUGUUCUCGGAUGGAUUUGAGUAAGAGCAUACGGGGCCGGACCCGAAAGAAGGUGAACUAUGCCUGUAUAGGGUGAAGCCAGAGGAAACUCUGGUGGAGCUCGCAGCGGUUCUGACGUGCAAAUCGAUCGUCAAAUAUGGGCAUGGGGGCGAA
Molecule: ribosomal RNA, 796 nt
Filed under: Protocrea farinosa
Lineage: Eukaryota; Fungi; Ascomycota; Sordariomycetes; Hypocreales; Hypocreaceae
Description: eukaryotic LSU rRNA
Rfam family: Eukaryotic large subunit ribosomal RNA
Source: RNAcentral